This 492-nucleotide ribosomal RNA is filed under the name uncultured bacterium. RNAcentral's name for it is "partial 16S ribosomal RNA". It matches the Rfam family "Bacterial small subunit ribosomal RNA", at positions 29 to 507 of the family's 1533-position model. The record is from RNAcentral.
AGUGAACGCUGGCGGUAGGCCUAACACAUGCAAGUCGAACGGCAGCACAGUAAGAGCUUGCUCUUACGGGUGGCGAGUGGCGGACGGGUGAGGAAUACAUCGGAAUCUACUUUUUCGUGGGGGAUAACGUAGGGAAACUUACGCUAAUACCUCAUACGACCUACGGGUGAAAGCAGGGGAUCUUCGGACCUUGCGCGAUUGAAUGAGCCGAUGUCGGAUUAGCUAGUUGGCGGGGUAAAGGCCCACCAAGGCGACGAUCCGUAGCUGGUCUGAGAGGAUGAUCAGCCACACUGGAACUGAGACACGGUCCAGACUCCUACGGGAGGCAGCAGUGGGGAAUAUUGGACAAUGGGCGAAAGCCUGAUCCAGCCAUACCGCGUGGGUGAAGAAGGCCUUCGGGUUGUAAAGCCCUUUUGUUGGGAAAGAAAAGCAGCAGGUUAAUACCCCGCUGUUCUGACGGUACCCAAAGAAUAAGCACCGGCUAACUUCGUG